GACGAACGCUGGCGGCGUGCCUAAUACAUGCAAGUCGAACGCUUCUUUCCUCCCGAGUGCUUGCACUCAAUUGGAAAGAGGAGUGGCGGACGGGUGAGUAACACGUGGGUAACCUACCCAUCAGAGGGGGAUAACACUUGGAAACAGGUGCUAAUACCGCAUAACAGUUUAUGCCGCAUGGCAUAAGAGUGAAAGGCGCUUUCGGGUGUCGCUGAUGGAUGGACCCGCGGUGCAUUAGCUAGUUGGUGAGGUAACGGCUCACCAAGGCCACGAUGCAUAGCCGACCUGAGAGGGUGAUCGGCCACCCUGGGACUGAGACACGGCCCAGACUCCUACGGGAGGCAGCAGUAGGGAAUCUUCGGCAAUGGACGAAAGUCUGACCGAGCAACGCCGCGUGAGUGAAGAAGGUUUUCGGAUCGUAAAACUCUGUUGUUAGGGAAGAACAAGGACGUUAGUAACUGAACGUCCCCUGACGGUAUCUAACCAGAAAGCCACGGCUAACUACGUG
This 508-nucleotide ribosomal RNA is filed under the name uncultured bacterium. RNAcentral's name for it is "partial 16S ribosomal RNA". It matches the Rfam family "Bacterial small subunit ribosomal RNA", at positions 28 to 507 of the family's 1533-position model. The record is from RNAcentral.